This 807-nucleotide ribosomal RNA is filed under the name Streptomyces sp. Sp080513GE-02. RNAcentral's name for it is "bacterial SSU rRNA". It matches the Rfam family "Bacterial small subunit ribosomal RNA", at positions 39 to 861 of the family's 1533-position model. Lineage: Bacteria; Bacillati; Actinomycetota; Actinomycetes; Kitasatosporales; Streptomycetaceae. The record is from RNAcentral.
GCGGCGUGCUUAACACAUGCAAGUCGAACGAUGAAGCCCUUCGGGGUGGAUUAGUGGCGAACGGGUGAGUAACACGUGGGCAAUCUGCCCUUCACUCUGGGACAAGCCCUGGAAACGGGGUCUAAUACCGGAUAACACUCCUGCCUGCAUGGGUGGGGGUUAAAAGCUCCGGCGGUGAAGGAUGAGCCCGCGGCCUAUCAGCUUGUUGGUGAGGUAGUGGCUCACCAAGGCGACGACGGGUAGCCGGCCUGAGAGGGCGACCGGCCACACUGGGACUGAGACACGGCCCAGACUCCUACGGGAGGCAGCAGUGGGGAAUAUUGCACAAUGGGCGAAAGCCUGAUGCAGCGACGCCGCGUGAGGGAUGACGGCCUUCGGGUUGUAAACCUCUUUCAGCAGGGAAGAAGCGAAAGUGACGGUACCUGCAGAAGAAGCGCCGGCUAACUACGUGCCAGCAGCCGCGGUAAUACGUAGGGCGCAAGCGUUGUCCGGAAUUAUUGGGCGUAAAGAGCUCGUAGGCGGCUUGUCACGUCGAUUGUGAAAGCUCGGGGCUUAACCCCGAGUCUGCAGUCGAUACGGGCUAGCUAGAGUGUGGUAGGGGAGAUCGGAAUUCCUGGUGUAGCGGUGAAAUGCGCAGAUAUCAGGAGGAACACCGGUGGCGAAGGCGGAUCUCUGGGCCAUUACUGACGCUGAGGAGCGAAAGCGUGGGGAGCGAACAGGAUUAGAUACCCUGGUAGUCCACGCCGUAAACGGUGGGCACUAGGUGUUGGCGACAUUCCACGUCGUCGGUGCCGCAGCUAACGCAUU